UCCUGUACAAGAACAAUAUCCAGGUCGA
RNAcentral lists this small RNA (28 nucleotides) under Bombyx mori (domestic silkworm). RNAcentral's name for it is "ovarian small RNA-27965". The record is from RNAcentral. Lineage: Eukaryota; Metazoa; Arthropoda; Insecta; Lepidoptera; Bombycidae.